CUUGCUUACUGAGCCCCCCCGAGUGUGCGGGCACCGCACUCGACACUGGACACCAGAAGCCCGCACCUCGGCCGCCGCCUCCAGAGCAGACAGAGGGCACGCACAAAGGGGCAGCUGUGAACCUGGGGUCAACUACGAAAACUACUGGAGAAUGGCUUUCAUAGCAGAAGGAAAUAAACCCGGAAGAAAGAGGAUCCAGGAAAUGGGACCUACGAACAGGAAUGAGCCAAAGGGAUGGAUGCCCAGGACGGGGGCCUGGCCCUGAGCAGCUCCGCCUCUGGCCAGCGGCAGUGUGCGGGUUCCUGACUCCACGUGGGGAAGGUUUCACAACAGGCGUUCA
Molecule: long non-coding RNA, 340 nt
Organism: Artibeus jamaicensis (Jamaican fruit-eating bat)
Lineage: Eukaryota; Metazoa; Chordata; Mammalia; Chiroptera; Phyllostomidae
Exons: 3
Source: RefSeq, a predicted model, not a curated record